AACCGCUGUAUACGAGGCCCGUACGUACAGUGGUGUGAGAGCCUCUCCCCGCUAAAUUAGUGGGGAGGGCUACUCGAU
Molecule: unclassified non-coding RNA, 78 nt
Filed under: Ohtaekwangia koreensis
Lineage: Bacteria; Pseudomonadati; Bacteroidota; Cytophagia; Cytophagales; Fulvivirgaceae
Source: RNAcentral